AGCUUUGCGCAGUGGCAGUAUUGUAGCCAAUGAGGUUUAUCUGAAGCGCGAUUAUUGCUAAUUGAAAAAUCAAGGCCCAGGACCUCUGGGUGGCUCAGUCUGUUAAAAGCAUCUGACUCUUGAUCUCAG
RNAcentral lists this small nuclear RNA (129 nucleotides) under Canis lupus dingo (dingo). RNAcentral describes it as "U4 spliceosomal RNA (ENSCAFG00020022083.1)". The stretch from base 1 to 79 matches the Rfam family "U4 spliceosomal RNA". Rfam says of the family: U4 small nuclear RNA (U4 snRNA) is a component of the major U2-dependent spliceosome. The record is from RNAcentral. Lineage: Eukaryota; Metazoa; Chordata; Mammalia; Carnivora; Canidae.